Molecule: ribosomal RNA, 253 nt
Filed under: uncultured bacterium
Lineage: Bacteria
Description: partial 16S ribosomal RNA
Rfam family: Bacterial small subunit ribosomal RNA
Source: RNAcentral
UACGUAGGUGGCAAGCGUUGUCCGGAAUUAUUGGUCGUAAAGCGCGCGCAGGCGGUUCUUUAAGUCUGAUGUGAAAGCCCACGGCUUAACCGUGGAGGGUCAUUGGAAACUGGAGAACUUGAGUACAGAAGAGGAAAGCGGAAUUCCACGUGUAGCGGUGAAAUGCGUAGAGAUGUGGAGGAACACCAGUGGCGAAGGCGGCUUUCUGGUCUGUAACUGACGCUGAGGCGCGAAAGCGUGGGGAGCAAACAGG